GACGAACGCUGGCGGCGCGCCUAACACAUGCAAGUCGAACGGGAUCUUUUGAGAGCUUGCUCUCGGCUGAUCUAGUGGCGGACGGGUGAGUAACACGUGAGCAACCUGCCUUUCAGUGGGGGAUAACAUUCGGAAACGGAUGCUAAUACCGCAUAACGUACGGGGACCGCAUGGUACCUGUACCAAAGGAGCAAUUCGCUGAAAGAUGGGCUCGCGCCCGAUUAGAUAGUUGGUGAGGUAACGGCCCACCAAGUCUGCGAUCGGUAGCCGGACUGAGAGGUUGAUCGGCCACAUUGGGACUGAGACACGGCCCAGACUCCUACGGGAGGCAGCAGUGGGGAAUAUUGCACAAUGGGGGAAACCCUGAUGCAGCGACGCCGCGUGAGUGAAGACGGUCUUCGGAUUGUAAAGCUCUGUUGUGGGGGACGAUAAUGACGGUACCCCACUAGAAAGCCACGGCUAACUACGUGCCAGCAGCCGCGGUAAGAC
RNAcentral lists this ribosomal RNA (489 nucleotides) under uncultured bacterium. RNAcentral describes it as "bacterial SSU rRNA". It matches the Rfam family "Bacterial small subunit ribosomal RNA", at positions 28 to 526 of the family's 1533-position model. The record is from RNAcentral.